RNAcentral lists this ribosomal RNA (141 nucleotides) under uncultured bacterium. RNAcentral describes it as "partial 16S rRNA". It matches the Rfam family "Bacterial small subunit ribosomal RNA", at positions 355 to 511 of the family's 1533-position model. The record is from RNAcentral.
UGGGGAAUUUUCCGCAAUGGGCGAAAGCCUUACGGAGCAAUGCCGCGUGGAGGUGGAAGGCCUACGGGUCGUCAACUUCUUUUCUCGGAGAAGAAACAAUGACGGUAUCUGAGGAAUAAGCAUCGGCUAACUCUGUGCCAC